AGCUUUAUAUUCAAAUAUGAUAUAAAAUUGCAAAUUUUAAGGUGUAAUAUUUUACUAAGGCUU
Molecule: transfer RNA, 63 nt
Filed under: Ariadne ariadne
Lineage: Eukaryota; Metazoa; Arthropoda; Insecta; Lepidoptera; Nymphalidae
Description: tRNA-Cys
Source: RNAcentral